Small nuclear RNA from Thrips palmi, 119 nucleotides. RefSeq annotates it as U5 spliceosomal RNA. Lineage: Eukaryota; Metazoa; Arthropoda; Insecta; Thysanoptera; Thripidae. The record is from RefSeq and is a predicted model, not a curated record. The transcript has a single exon.
CUCUUCUGUCUCCCUUCAUAUUGAACUCAUCUUUCGCCUUUUACUAAAAAAUGACCGUAGAGGAGGAUACACUGCGAGUCUAACGACCAAUUUUUGAUGAGCCCUGCGCGAGCGGGGCC